This 309-nucleotide ribosomal RNA is filed under the name uncultured bacterium. RNAcentral describes it as "bacterial SSU rRNA". It matches the Rfam family "Bacterial small subunit ribosomal RNA", at positions 626 to 932 of the family's 1533-position model. The record is from RNAcentral.
UUGGAAACUGAUUUACUUGAGUGCGAUAGAGGCAAGUGGAACUCCAUGUGUAGCGGUGAAAUGCCUAAAAUAUGUGGAAGAACACCAGUGGCGAAAGCGGCUUGCUAGAUCGUAACUGACGUUGAGGCUCGAAAGUAUGGGUAGCAAACGGGAUUAGAUACCCCGGUAGUCCAUACCGUAAACGAUGGGUGCUAGUUGUUAAGAGGUUUCCGCCUCCUAGUGACGUAGCAAACGCAUUAAGCACCCCGCCUGAGGAGUACGGCCGCAAGGCUAAAACUUAAAGGAAUUGACGGGGACCCGCACAAGCGG